Molecule: long non-coding RNA, 1749 nt
Organism: Cephus cinctus (wheat stem sawfly)
Lineage: Eukaryota; Metazoa; Arthropoda; Insecta; Hymenoptera; Cephidae
Exons: 5
Source: RefSeq, a predicted model, not a curated record
CAUUGAGCCGUGUCACCAAAUGGACGGAGGAUAUUGCGGAACAGUCACCCAAGAAACGUUAUCCAUAAUCGAACAGUCAUCCAAUUCCUAGCUAUUGAUAAGCUUUAUCGGCACCAUUAUCAGAUAUCUGAAAACCACAGUUGACGGCUGCACGUUAUUAUCUGCCCAGGAUAUUCAGCAGACAAGAAAUAACCCUGACGUACUUGACUUUGAGAGCGGAUUUUCUUUAAAGAGAGUCAUGCAAAGAAAAAUGGAGAGUAUUUAGAAAAAUGUCAACGGUCAUAUACCUACGUGUAUGGUUUAAAAUAAAUGAGAGACCUCGACUCGAUCGGGACAUGUAUAUAUGUAUACAUACUCUUCAUACAGAUGAAUACAUGUAUAUAUGUACGAUUGCGCAUCGUGACGAGAUUUCAAGAUUACAUGCUCCGCAUGCAUAUUCAAGCGGAAUUCUGCCAAGCAGAAUACAAGUCCAAUAUUACUUCUCUUGAUCCUAUAGAUUAUAUACACAUGUAUAGUCUUUGAAGUGACAGAAAGAUUCGUUUUCCCAGCUAAUGAACGGAUUUACACCAGAUAAUUAUCACGGAACCACGUAACUUGCAUUACGUUAUCGAAUUCAACACAUUCAACUGUAUAUCUGAUUUUCAAUUCCCACAUGUAUCGGUGCAUAUUUAUAAGGAUGAAUACAGAGCAGAAGGCGUGAAGAUGCCCUCGUUAAGAUUUCAUUCGCAAUCUUUCCCCGGGAUGGUCUCUCCCGUGGCUCGUAUCCUGGGGCGUAUUCUCUUCACCGAAACUAACCAAGUGAAGCACCAAGGACUUAUUCUUGGACCUGGUAUUGUUCUCGUACAAGAUAGCAAGUGGUAGAGGAAGAUUGGGUUGGAAUAAAUGAGAUGGAAGAUAGACAGAAUAAAAAACACGAAAGAAAAGAGAUAUAAAAUGGAAUUGUAGAUGAGGAAAAAUUGUUAAAACUUCUUGAGUAUACUUGGCUGUUUAAUAAUUCAUGAAGGUUUUUACUAGGAUGGCGAUAAAAGCUCCACCGGAAGUCCUAGUGGUUGUCUGGAUAAUUAACCAGUCACUUAAUCUUCUACGACCCUUUCGUUAAUAUGUGAUAAUUCUUUCUUAGCUGAGUAAACUAUAGAUAACGCAGCCUGACGACCACUUUGAUACUACGUUGAUGAUAAUCAGGAAAUUUUUACUUUGAAACCAAUUUGUUUGUCAUUAAUUAAAACAAGCUGCUUCUCUUUAUUACUUUCUUAUGUAGCUAUAAGAUUUUAUGAACUGCUAACUCACCUCUGUUUACAUGAGUAUACGUGUACAGGAAGGUACAGAAAUACUGGAUAUAUUAUUAAUGCGUCAGGAUAUAGAUUAACCCAUGUUCGCACACGCCUUGUUGCGAACAACCUUUAAUCAAUAACUGUUAUCAGUCAUGUUAAUGAGAAAAGUUAGCAGAAUUAUGUUUUGUUUAUUGAAAGUUUUGAUAGCUAUUCGUUAAAAAUAAAAGACUGUGUGUAGGCCGGACUGUAUUAACAUAUAGGUCCCAAGUUGCUUGGAUAAAAGAGGUAAUUUUUUUCAAGCGGUGCCUCAUAUAUUGGCAACCCUGCCAUUUGAUGUAACGGUACUACGCGUAAGAUCGAACUAAGCUAUUACCAGUUAUAAAAAUUUAUAAUUUUAAAUAUUACACUAUCAACAUGUACCUAACAAUCUAUAGGUAUUAAUUUCAUUAAAUAAAAAUUUCCCCACUAUAAAAAUAGA